UUGGCGCUGUAGGCACUCGACCAACUCUGUGGCGCUAUGAGCUGUGGCGCUGUGAGCCUGGAUACGAUUAUUUAUUCGGUUGUGUUGGCGCUGUGAGCACUCGGCUAAUUCUGUGGCGCUAUGAACCAGUUUCUACUUGGUAGUAUCGCAUAGCGCCACAAUAACAUUAAAUCAUUAGAAUGAAGUUAUAACAAGUGUACUACAUGGCCGCGUUAUAAGUUUAUAAAGGCCAGCCAACAGGCAAAAAUAAGAAAAAAACCUCCUAUUGGUUAACAUUUAUUACAAGAACGUUGGAGAGGAACACUUGAUGUAGGGGAAAUAUUGCAAAAAAGUGUUUACGUGAGUGGCUAAAACGAAGAAUAAUUAAUAUCAUGUUGUGACGUCGUGACUCAUUCCUUCGCUUCACUUGUUACCUGCAUCUAGGUUAUGUGAAAUGUAUUGGUCCCAGAUUUGACCAUUACAGAGUUUGUAAGAGUUGUAAACCUCAUUUCAUAUUUUAUUUAUUAUCUCGUUUACAAAUAUAGCUCCAACAGUUUACACGAGUUGAUUUGUUGCAACAUAUUUCGACAAAAUAAAUUUAAAAGGUUGGAAACAUGUGAAGGAGAGAAACCCUCAGGACCAUAUAUGCCUUAAGUAGAUAUUAUAAGUGAUGGAGAGCAAGUUUGGAAGUAAAUGCCAAAGCACAAAGAUGCCUUGCUGUAUUGAGAGAGGAACAGAUAAAUGCUAUGCAAUCAAUCAUUGGAGUUUCCAGAUGAUGGUAUUUAACUUGUACCGAAACUUUGGUUUUGUGAUGAUUCCUGUAG
Long non-coding RNA from Homalodisca vitripennis (glassy-winged sharpshooter), 803 nucleotides. RefSeq lists it as uncharacterized. Lineage: Eukaryota; Metazoa; Arthropoda; Insecta; Hemiptera; Cicadellidae. The transcript is spliced from 3 exons. The record is from RefSeq and is a predicted model, not a curated record.